RNAcentral lists this ribosomal RNA (769 nucleotides) under uncultured bacterium. RNAcentral describes it as "bacterial SSU rRNA". It matches the Rfam family "Bacterial small subunit ribosomal RNA", at positions 28 to 810 of the family's 1533-position model. The record is from RNAcentral.
GACGAACGCUGGCGGCGCGCCUAACACAUGCAAGUCGAACGAGAGAGAAGGAGCUUGCUUCUUCGAUCGAGUGGCGAACGGGUGAGUAACGCGUGAGGAACCUGCCUCAAAGAGGGGGACAACAGUUGGAAACGACUGCUAAUACCGCAUAAGCCCACGGGUCGGCAUCGACCUGAGGGAAAAGGAGCAAUCCGCUUUGAGAUGGCCUCGCGUCCGAUUAGCUAGUUGGUGAGGUAACGGCCCACCAAGGCGACGAUCGGUAGCCGGACUGAGAGGUUGAACGGCCACAUUGGGACUGAGACACGGCCCAGACUCCUACGGGAGGCAACAGUGGGGAAUAUUGCACAAUGGGGGAAACCCUGAUGCAGCGACGCCGCGUGGAGGAAGAAGGUCUUCGGAUUGUAAACUCCUGUUGUUGAGGAAGAUAAUGACGGUACUCAACAAGGAAGUGACGGCUAACUACGUGCCAGCAGCCGCGGUAAAACGUAGGUCACAAGCGUUGUCCGGAAUUACUGGGUGUAAAGGGAGCGCAGGCGGGAAGACAAGUUGGAAGUGAAAUCUAUGGGCUCAACCCAUAAACUGCUUUCAAAACUGUUUUUCUUGAGUAGUGCAGAGGUAGGCGGAAUUCCCGGUGUAGCGGUGGAAUGCGUAGAUAUCGGGAGGAACACCAGUGGCGAAGGCGGCCUACUGGGCACCAACUGACGCUGAGGCUCGAAAGUGUGGGUAGCAAACAAGAUUAGAUACCCUGGUAGUCCACACCGUAAACGAU